This 388-nucleotide ribosomal RNA is filed under the name uncultured bacterium. Its description in RNAcentral is "bacterial SSU rRNA". It matches the Rfam family "Bacterial small subunit ribosomal RNA", at positions 30 to 418 of the family's 1533-position model. The record is from RNAcentral.
AUUGAACGCUGGCGGCAUGCCUUACACAUGCAAGUCGAACGGCAGCACGGGAGCAAUCCUGGUGGCGAGUGGCGAACGGGUGAGUAAUAUAUCGGAACGUGCCCAGUCGUGGGGGAUAACGCAGCGAAAGCUGUGCUAAUACCGCAUACGAUCUAUGGAUGAAAGCGGGGGAUCGCAAGACCUCGCGCGAUUGGAGCGGCCGAUAUCAGAUUAGCUAGUUGGUGGGGUAAAAGCCCACCAAGGCGACGAUCUGUAGCUGGUCUGAGAGGACGACCAGCCACACUGGAACUGAGACACGGUCCAGACUCCUACGGGAGGCAGCAGUGGGGAAUUUUGGACAAUGGGCGCAAGCCUGAUCCAGCAAUGCCGCGUGCAGGAUGAAGGCCUC